GGCGCAGUCUGCGGGCGGGAGGGCGCCGGCGAGGUGGCGAGGGCGGCUGGCGCGGGGGCGCGGGAGCCCCGGCUAAGCCCGGGGACGGGAGGGCGCCCCCUCCCAGCGCCCGAACCCAGGCAACUUCCCGCCGCCCGGGCAGGAGUUUCUCCGUAGCCCACGGACAUCCGGGAGGCUUGUGGAGGGCAGGCGGGUAACCCCCACUCCCACCCCACCUUUAUCCAGGGGCAGCCAGAGGAGCCAGCAGGUCGGGACUCGCUGAGGGGGCUCCACGCGGGGCCUCCCACGCACAGGGACAGCGUCUGCUAUGUUGUCCAGGCUGGUCUCAAAUUCCUUGCCUCAAGCGAUCCAACUGCCUCAGCCUCCCGAGUCACUGGGAUUACAGGCAUGAAGACAUUGUUUUCAAGGGAUCACUCUGCUUUGUGGAGACUAGACUGUGAGGAGCAAGCCUCGAAAGGGGAGAGCUGUUUCGAGGUUCUCCACUGCAGCCUGCUCCACAGCCACGCCCUCCCAUCCAUGGCUACACACUCACAUUCUGGGCCUCUUCCCUGGACCAGAUUGCACAGCAGGGCCGCUCUCUCCAGUGCCUCCAGCUGGCCCCUGCUGACAAGUCCGUGUUGUGUCAUGUUGGGAGUCUGGGCAAGGCACGAGGGCCCCUCUCUAGCAGGUCCCGAUGGCUCCUCCACACCUUCAGGAAAAGCAAGAGAUAAACCAUUGCAUGCUGAGCUCUGCAGGGAACUGGAGGCGGACACCAUCCAUUCUGCAAACCUGCAAUGGUGACACUUCUGGAAUCUCCUUGCCUCUUCCAGGGCUGCAGCCUCUAAGGCAGGUAAGACCCAGGCCAGGUUGGCUCAGGGACCUCUGUGUAGCAUUGCUGACCUCAUGUUAUGGAAGCAGGAGGCCACUGUGAGAUGCGGGGCUUAGCUGCCACCUUGGAGAAACAGCUCAUUUGAGACAGCCAGGAGCAAUUUAAUCAGGCUAAGUUGGCCUGGCCCUGGGACCCCUGCCUUUUCCAUGACAGCAGCGUCUGCUGAAAGCACAUCAGAGCCCACACUUGCAAGUUCAAAGAUGUCUGUCCCCAAGGUCUCAACCAGGGAUGGCAUCUUCUUCUUGGGGCACUUAGCAUUUUGAGACUCUGGGAGAGUCCCCUGUGGGAACUGGGUGUACUGACACUGUGGAACCAAGGAAGCACCACGGCUGCAGAGAGACCCUGGGCCAGACCAUCCAAAUGAAGCCCAGGCACAGCAGAGGGCUCUGAGGAGGCGCAGGAUGCAGGAGAUGAAAGGGGAAAAUGAAGGGGAGCCGCAGGUUCAAACUGCCCCUUCCCAGGAGUGAGCUACAGCUUGGCCACUUCUGUCUCAUAAGAAGGAGGUUGUGACUUUGGGAGGUGGAGGGGGAUUACAGCUGGGAUUCCUGUUGCCUGCCUCCUGCCUCUGGGGCUCUCAGCUUUCUCUUCUCCCCAGGACUCUUUUCUUCCUCUCCCCCCACCUCCCCCCCCACUCCCCUCCUCCCCCUAGGUCCUGGCUCUCCCUCCCCGACCCGGUCUUCUUGGUACCAGCUAAGCCCUGGAGGGGCCACAGCCUCCCCUCCAGCCCCCCUGCCAUGGGAUGGCUGCUGUCUCCUUUGGAUCUUUUUGCGGUCUGGGCUUGCUGUUCCUCUCAACAGUAGUCAGGAAGCCCUUACCCCAAAAAGUAUCUGCGGGAGGCCUUGUCCACAGGGGAGGCUGCCCCAAGGGCUCCAGGUGAGUCACAGCAAACCCAAGAACAGUGAAUGGAACUGGGGUCUCCUGGCUCUCCUUUAGAGUUGCUGAGUGACUUUAAGUCCAGCACUGAGCCUCUCUGGGCCUCACUUAUGCCACUCUUUUCAUCAUUUACCAGUGGGCAAUGUCAAGUGAGAGACUCCACAGAUAAGAAAAAUAAAGGAGUGGCUCAAUUACAUGCCAGGGAAAACCGCUUUGGUGGAUGAAGGUCACACAGCUCUCCCAGCAUUCUGUCCUCUGUAUACAGAUGAUCUCCUUCUGAAAUCCUUUUGGGGAUGACCCCCUUCCACACCAUGGACACUUCUGGGUGGGUUGUCACUCAAGAGGUCCUGCCCUCUUCUGCCCACUGGGUGGACACAAGAAUUGAAAUCUGUAAAGGAUACUGAGAUUGGGAACAAAAUAAUUGAUGCUGAUUGAUCCCAGCAGUGUAUGGCGAGAAGAUGACAAGCUUCCACUGCCUGUAUCACUGACUUGCCUAAUGUCUGCCCUGCCCUGGCCUGGAUCUUAACCGCGCCCUUCAUUCUGUGAACUACCCCCAAAUCCUUCAAAUAAAGUCCUUGAUUGCUUGUUAGAGUCAAUAAUAUUGCUUGCUGAGGAUCCAGAGACCUCUAGAGAGAGGAGGUGGAAUUGCACACCCUGGGAAAGAGGAAGGUGUGAGUUACCAUCCCUGGGGGAGGCCCCACAGGUGUCAGCCCUCAGGGGGCAGGGGACUGACAGGGGACAGAGCUGACAGCAGGGGUCAUAUACAAGAGUUGGGUUGGGGGCCUAAGGAAACUUCCCCAAAGGUGAGAACCAUGUUGGGAUAAAGGACAGAGGAGGACCUAUAUGAUAUGGAGAGAAGUGAAAUACAGCUAAGUGGGGUCCUCACCUCUAAAGAGGCCAGGGGCCGGGCACAUCUGUAAUCCCAGCACUUUGGGGAGCCGAGGUGGACAGAUCACUUGAGGUCAGGAGUUCAAGACCAGCCUGGCCAACAUGGUGAAACCCCGACUCUUACUAAAAAUACAAAAAUUAGCUGGGCAUGGUGGCGCAAGUCUGUAAUUGCAGCUACUUGGGAGGCUGAGGCAGAGAAUCGCUUGAACCAAGGAGACAGAGGUUGCAAUGAGCCGAGACUGCGCCACUGCACUCCAACCUGGGUGAGAGAGCAAGACUCCAUCUAAAUAAAUAAAUAAAUGGGGCAGAAAACAGGUUAUGCCAAUUACAGGUUGUUGUAGAUUCCCAGUCCCUCCUCCUCAUGCCGGAUAGCUGGGGGAUCGACACUGCAGCCGCGGUGAGGCCACGGCAGGUCAGGAAUGACCACACGGACAUCCAUCUUGUUGUCCACCACUGACAAUGAGACGGAUGACCAGGCUCCCGAGUGCCGAGUGCCGUAGUGCUCUGCGGCCAGGAAAUGGCCAGGGGCCAGGGACCCUCCUUAUCUGGAAUCCUCCCACUCGGCCCUGGGGUGGCCACUUGUGCCGAGACAGCCCAAGGUUGGGGGCGUGGCAUCAGGCCUCCCCAAGGCCUUUACUGCUGCAGAGCCACAGCCCUCAAGAAACAAGGCCCCUGGAAGAUUCCUUCCCUAAGCAGAAGCUGCUGGAGGCCAUUUUAAGGCAAUAUGUGAGCUGGCGUGUCGCCUGCAACUGAGUUCAGAGGUGCUAAAGGAUCCUGAGUGGGGCUGGGGGUUUGCUGUGGAGGUUCAGGAAGAAAGGCUGGGUUUACGGGUCCAGGAACAAUUACUGCAGGUUUGUGAGGCCAACCGAGCCCCCACUAGGUGACAGCCAGACAGCAGUGGGAGAAGGGACGAUGGCGACGAGCAAAACGGCACGGCUGAAUAAUACCUGUGACCACGGGAGCUCCUGCCCCUGAUGCUAUCCUGACCCUCCCCAUCCCACCCAGCUGCAAAGCAGUUGUUGCUCUGCCACCUGCUGCCAGCAUGCGGGUGGGAAUGCGUGUGCAGCUCAAGGGUGGCAUCGUGUGGUCAUAGUGGGGUAGUGCACCUCACAGCUUCCAAAGAGCUUCAUUCUGCGGAGUCACUCAAGGAAUUUUGAGUCUAUGUGCCAGACUCUGUUCUAGGACUGCAAGAUCUUUCCUAACAGAAUCAGAGUUUUUGUGAGGAGCAGUCUUGAGGGGUGCAGAGCCUGAGAGGGGAAGGGGAGAAGAGAAGGAGAGAAGGAGAGAAGGAGGGGAGGUGGGAGGGGGAGGGUUGCUAGAGCCCCUUGGUGAGCGUGUCUACAGCCAGACUGCUCUAGGGCACCUUUCAAAGUGGCUUCUGGGUCCACAUCUCAGGCAUUUGACGACUUAACCCUUUGCAUGAGCCUCGCAAAUUGCAACUCAAAUCCCUGCCACCCUAGAGAACCUAUUCCCUCCAGAGGGAGAGGGACUCAGGAGAGGCACUAUUCCAAAAAGGCUCCUGUUCCCAAUGUUAAAGGAAAGAACCCAGACUUCAGAAUCAAUCCGAUCUGGAUUCAAAUCUCAGGUUGUCCCUGCGCCAGCUAUGUGGCCUCAGGAAAGUCCUUAGCCCUCUCUGUGCCUCGGUGUCCUCAUCUGUAAAACAGGGAAAAUCAUGCCCCUCUGACAGGGCGGUGGGUUCUAGUCAGUGAAAUAAUGUCAGGACAAUGGAUGGUCCCCACCAUAAAAAGCAAGGCCCCCGAUUCUGUGUCCAGGGGUAUCAGCUCUGGGGGGCAUCUGCUUGGCUGCUCAUGAGUGGCUGUCUUUCCACAGCUGUGUGGAUGUGUCUGGCAUUUAGCAGUCGGUUGUCUGAAAUCAGCCAUGGAGUUUUGCCCCCUGCUUUAUUGCUCCCAAGCAGGUUCCUCACCUGCCGAGCGCCUGCGGCUGUGUGCCAAAGGCUGAGUGCGCCACAGCGAGGAGCAGCUGCCAGACCUGGAGUGAGCAGAGGGAGAAACUGGACUUCAGAAUAAUCAGAGCUGGAUGCUAAUCUCAGGUCCCACCUGCACUAGCUGUGUGGUCUCGGGAGAGUCUUACGGGUGGGAAGGACCAGGGCCUUGUGGGCUGAGAGGCUUGGGGAAGCCAGGGGGAGCCAGGUCCCCUCACUGCUCUCGAAGAACCGGCAGUGGUGUUGGAACUCCCAGAGCUGGAGAGGCUCAGGCCGGGAAGGGCUGUCCUGACCUGCGGGCCAUCAUGGCCUUUCGGGGAGGGAGGGAGGAGAUGAAGAGGUGGCACAGAAUUGACAAAGGAAAGGCAGGAAUGAAAAGGAAGGUGGGGGAAUGUGGAAGGCAAAAUGAGAAGUCUCUCCGGGUGGCUGAUGUCACCCUUUCUGAUUGCUCGAGGUGCCAGCAGGGGCACCUUGGCAAGGUGUCCCCUCUCCCAGGAGGCUGAGACCAGGAUCUGAUCCAAGCUGGGCCACCUGGAGAGAGUGGCCUGAACUAGUCUCCAUCAUGCUCUGGGCCUGGGUUUCUGCAUUUGUAAAAUGAGAGGAAUGUGCUGGAUCAGAUACAAUCUCCUCUCCCACCAGGCCCACCCCACACUCGGCAGGAAAGCAAGGACUGGGGCCCCAACAGCUGUCCUUGAGAGUGGGAGCCGCUGAGGGCACAGGAAGGAGUUUUGGGGGCGGCAGGCAGGGAAGCAAGCAGGAUGGGAACGCCAGGCUCUCAGGGGAAGGAACCAGAUAAAUCAUCAGCAAGGAAAACCUAUAGGUUUCCCCAAAGUACAAUUUGAAUAGAAAUGUCAAAUGCACCUGGAGUUAUUACACCCUGUAAUCCUAAUGACAUAUAAUCCUAUACACCAACAGGAUAAUAUCACGAGUGUGUGUGGCAACACUGCCGCAUGUUAAUCCUGCCUGCCUCCUGGGAUGAUCUUUCUCAUCCCAGCAGAGCCUACAGAGCCUCCUUUGUUCUUCCCAGAAGUGGCCUCAUCGGGCUGGACCUGGGGGAGGUGACCAAGGAAGUGAAAAUCAAAGAGCCCAAGGAAUGAAGCUGGCAUGGCGCUAGUCAGGGGAUGGACAGGUGUGGUUUGGUGCUUUCAUUUUUUGCCUAAUCUGGAUGCAUCCUAAGUCCCCUGGAAGUUGCCAGCCCCACAUCAGCAUCUGUGUUGAGGACCCUCUUCUCUCCCCGCCUACCCCCGCCCCUAACCCUUUCCUUCUCUCUCAUUCUUCCUUUCCUGUAUCCUUCCCUUUCUUCCCCAGCAUCUAUGCUCUGUUCUGCCAGGAGCACUCUCGGAGAUAUGGUUCGUCCUCUUGAGAGGGAAAGCCUCCUGGGACUCGCGUGCACCCGUCCUGUCCAGCUGCGCUCCUUAGUUGCGGGCCCUGGAGCCAGGGAAGGUGGGAGUGGACUUUCGCCUGAGGCAGCAGCUGCGUGGUUAGUGGUCUGUGGCCAGGGGGGCAUUUCAAGGUAGGGCACAGAACUUCCAGGCCAGUGCACCAGCCCAAAAUAGAGCCCUGGUUGGCUUUAUCUACCGUGUAGCCUGUGCUGGUCCCCAUGACAUAAGCUUCUUUUGCUGUGAGACAGGAAAUCUCUUUCUAGGCUCCUGGGGAGAUGAGAUUUUUCAGGUCAAAGUCUCAGAGUCAUUCACACAAUCCAGGAAUCUCUUCCCAAACUCCAUACUCCUAUGCUCGGCCCUCCAAGGCAGUGAUUCUCGAAGUAGGAACCACUUCAAGACCAGCAGCUCAGCACUACCAGGGAUCUUAUUAGAAAUGCAAAUUCUGCCAGGUGCGAUAGCUCACACCAGUAAUCCCAGCACUUCGGGAGGCCGAGGGGGCAGAUCACUUGAGGUCAGGAGUUUGAAACCAGCCUGGCCAACAUGGUGAAAUCCUGUCUCUACGAAAAGUACAAAAAUUAGCUGGGCAUGAUGGCGCAUACCUGGAGUCCCAGCUACUCAGGAGGCUGAGGCAGGAGAAUCGCUUCAACCCAGGAAGCGGAGGUUGCAGUGAGCUGAGGUUGCACCACUGCACUCCAGCCAGGACGACAGAGCAAGACUCCAUCUCAAAAACAAAAACAAAAAAAAAAAAAACAGAAAUGCAAAUUCUUAGAUCCCAGUGCCAAGGGUGGCUGGAGACAGUUUGUAACAUCUCAGGAGAACCAAUUGCACAUGUCUCUUUCCUAACUCCACAUUUAGUGACCAUCACACUGGGGGCUUGAAAUCAACCACGGUGAGAGUGUUUACACUGUGGAACAUUACAAAUCAGUGCUCAUUUUUCUUUCUGAAAGCCCAUUGUUAAACAGUUUCCAGCACACCACUGGACCCUACCCAGACCUACUGAACCAGAGCCCUGAAGGUGGAACCCCACAAUCUGUGUUUCAAUAAGCUUUCCAGGUGAUUCUGAUGCACAUUCAAGUUUGAGAAUCACUGUUCCCAUGGGCCAGCUCUAGUGGUAUCAUAAGAAAGAAAGGAAUGUGGGGGUGCCCAAGGAGUAGGAUUUCACAAGGAAACUUUGGAAAAGGUAAAGAAAGAAGAGAGAAAGUAAACUAGGCCCUGGGGCCUUCCUCCAGGCAAAGAGGCAACCAGGCACUUGGCAGGAAAUACCCCUGGACGGAGAUGAGACCUGCAGCCCCAGGGAAUGGAAGGAGGAAAGAGAAUCUGGUGAGUAGGUGGGAUGCAGCCAACGUCAAAUAGUCAUUUUUCCACGUAUCCAGAUGAGGGAGAUGGCGUCAAUUACUCUAAGUCAUGAGAUCGGAAGGGCACAGGAUAAUUGGCUGGAAAAAUGCUCCUUUGGGUGCAUAUUUCUGUAACAAAGAAAAACACAUUUAUGAGCAUUUGUUUUGUUUGUUUGAGGCAGGGUCUCACUCAGUCACCCAGGCUGGAGUGCAGUGGCACGAUCAUGGCUCACAGCAGCCUCAAACUCCUGGGCUCAAGCAAUCCUCCUGCCUCAGCCUUCCCAGUAGCUGGGGCUACAGGUGCACACCACCAUGCCUGGCUAAGUUUUGUAUUUUUGGUAAAGACAAGGUCUCACUAUCUUGACCAGGCUGGUUUUGAAUUCCUGGGCUAAAAGGAUUCUCCCACCUCAGCCUCUCAAAGUGCUUGGAUUACACGUGUGAGCCACCAUGCCUAGCCAUGAGCAUUUCACUGAAGAUAGAAGGAAGAGAAAUCCUACGAAGUGUUUUUCAGGGAAGGGAUGAAAAUGGAAAAUCCUAGCAAAUGCUCAUUACUACUCAUGUAAAUGUGUGCAAAAUGCCACUGGAAUUUUCUUUCCUUUUUUCCGUUGUGAAAUAUUUCAAACAUAUAGAAAAAGACAAGGAGUAAUAUAACAAAAGCCUUGUACCUACCACCAGAAAUAGCAAGUGCUACCAUUUUGCCACAUUUAUGUCAGAUCAUUUUUUAAAAGAAAUGAGACAGCCCAGGCACAGUGGCUCAUGCCUGUAAUCCUAGCACCUUGGGAGGCCGAGGUGGGAGGAUUGCUUGAGCCUAGGAGUUUAAGACCAACCUGGGCAGCAUAGCAAGACCCCAUCUCUACAAAAAACAAAAAAUUAAUGGGGUAUGGUUGUUCGUGCCUGUUUCAGCUACUCAGGAGGCUGAAGUGGAAGGACUGCUUGAGACUGGGAAGUUGAGGCUGCAGUGAGCCAUGAUCACGCUGCUACACUCCAGCCUAGGCAACAAAGUGAGACCCUGUCAAAAAAAAAAAGGAAAAGAGGAAAGAAGAAAUAGAGAAAGAGAGAAGAAAGGAGAAAGAAAGAAAGAAAGUAAGAAAGAAAGAAAAAAGGAAGAAAAAGAGGAAGAAAGGAAGAAAAAAAGAAAAAAGGAAGAAAAAGAAGAAGAAAGGAAGAAAAAAAGAAAGAAAGAAAGAAAAAAGAAAGAAGGAAGGAAGGAAGAGAGAGAGAGAAAGAAAGAAAAAACCUUACAGACACAGUUGAAGUCUUUGUGCCCCUUUUCCUUCCUCCAACUGUCCUGAAGUUGGUAGGUAUUCUCACACUGGUGCUCAUACUUUACCAUAUAUGUAUUACUCGUAAAUUACACCUAGCAUUGCUUUGAGUGCUUCUUAAUUUAUGUAAGUGAUGUCACACUAAACCCACCAUUCUGGAACCUACUUUUUUUUCAGCUAAAUUGUGUUUCCAAGAUCGGUCCAUGUUGAUGCAUGAUACAUUCAUUUUUACUGCUGAAUAACAUGAAACUGUACAAAGAUACCACAAUCCAUCCACUCACCUACUAAUAGACAUUUGUUUCCAGUUUUUCACCAUCACAAAUGAUUCUGCAGUGGACAUCCUUGAACAUGCUUCUGUAGAGUAGACCCCUACAAGUGGUGUUGCUGGGCCGCAGGGAAGAUGCGUUCCAGUUAUUAGACAUGCUGUCAAUUUACUCGCUAGCUUGGCUGAGCCAGUUCACGCUUGUGCCAGCAGCAGACAAAACAACUGAAAAUGUUAUUUAUUCAGUGUGCUCUUGGAUUGGGCUCUCUUCUGAAUGCAAAACCAAUUAUAAGGAUUUUCUCUAGUUCGUUCCCGACCUUUGUUCUCCAAUUCUACUUUCCCUUAAAGUCUUAAAUUCUUUAGCCAUAAAUUCUUCUACAACUAGGGUUUUCCAGAAUCUGACCUAGUGGCCAAGAAGAAAUGACUGGUAUGUGUGUUACAGGAUGGAGUCGGGUAUGUGUGUGUAUGUGUGUGUGUGUCUGUGUUUGUAGCUUUGUACCAAAGCCAACAAGAAAGAACUGGAAGGACAAGACUUUCCAUAGCAUCUUUUAAAUGAUGCAUCAAACCCAGGAAAGAGGGGUAACCAGUGUGACCCAGAAUCCACUCUCAAGCUAUAGGUCCUUUCCUCCCCCUCUUAUUUGUUGGGGGUCAAGGGGGAGUUGUCCCAGGACAUUACUCUGUGGCUCCAUCUUCCCUGCUCCCCAAACCCACCAGACUCCAGACACUUCUCUAAGCUGUGUAAACCUAGGGGUGAGGGAAAGAGGUACUCUGUGCAGAGGAGGGGCAGCCCCAUGUGUUCAUCUGGGGUAAAGGGCUGACUUUUGGCCCCAGGCCUAAGAGCUCUCUGUCCAUGCCAAAGAUUCCUCCUGCAUCUGGGCCUGUGGGGUUGGGAGAGCUGCCAAAAUCCUAGACUGGGCAGUGACAGUGGAGAGCCUAUAUCUUGGCCACUGAGCCGAUUCCUCAGCCCCAGGACCAUACAGAAGUUGUCUGGAAUUCCUUCCCUCACAGGCCCUGAAGCAGGAGCCUCCAAGGCCUCUGAAGUUGACUUGAGAAAAGGGGAUGGGGGGAUAAGGAGGGGGAUAGGGAUUCAAGGGACCACCACAAAGUUGCCUAGCUCAAACCAAAGACAUUUCAAGAGGCAGGAACCUGAAGUGAAUGAAAAAGCACAAUUCACAGUUAAGCGAGAGUAGGGAGGGCCCUGACCCAAAGACUAUUUUUGUGUUUUUUGUUUGUUUUUUAGGGUUUUUUUGAGAUAGGGUCUCACUCUGUCACCCAGGCUGGAGUGCAGUGGUGCAAUCACAGCUCACUGCAGCCUCCACUUCCGAGGCUCAAGCAAUCCUCCUGCCUCAGCCUCCCCAUAGCAGGGACCACAGGCACACACCACCACACCCGGCUAAUUUUUAAAUUUUUUUGUAGAGAAGGGAUCUUGCUAUGUUGCCCAGGCUGGUUCAAACUCCUGGGCUCAAGCAAUCCUCCUGCCUUGGCCUCCCAAAGUGCUGGGAUUACAGGAGUGAGCCACUACUCCUUUCUUUCUUUCCAACAGAAAGACUAUUUUUGGAUGGGAUUUCUCCCCCAGCAAACACUUGAAGUGUGACCUACAGGAGUUGUUUGUUUGGAGGGGGGCAUUUGUCCUUUAUCAAAAAGAUGAAACCUGGUUGGGUGUGAGUUUCUUGCCUGUAAUCCCAGCACUCUGGGAGGCUGAGGCAGGAGGACUGCUUGAGGCCAGGAGUUUAAGACCAGCCUGGGCAACAUAGGGAGACCCUGUAUCAACAACAACAAAAAAUUAAAAAUUAGCCAAGCAUGGUGGUGCACACCUGUAGUCCCAGCUACUCAGGAGGCUGAAGUGGGAGGAUCUCUUGAGCCCAGGAGAACGAGGCUGCAGUGAGCCAUGAUCACACCACUGCACUUCAGCCUGGGCAAGAGAGUGAGACCGUAUCCCAAAAAGGAAAACGAUAAAGCAUGAACAUCUUGGCGUCCUUGUUCCACAGACUCCUUUUGGCCCAGAACAGUCUGCCCUUUGGGCAGCAGGUGGCUUGCUUCAGCCUGGAGGCCAGGAGGCCUACUCAGGCGCCCAGGGCGAUUCACCAAGGGACCUCACCUCUGAGCCCCGCCUACCACCCAAUGAGGACGCGCGGACAUGACGUCACUGCAUCCUGUUGCCCAGCCCAGACCAGGAGAAUGGGACAAGCUGGAGAAAAGAGCCAGUGGAAGUGCCAGAUGCCAAGAGAGAAGUUGGGGGAAAAAAUGGUGGAGGGCAAAUGAGUCAGCAGCAAGUUUAAGCAAUGAACCAUUGCAUCACGGGGUGUUUCUCAAAUUCUUGUCUACUUUUAGAAAAAGUACGCAAUGACAUUCAGUGGGCAUCUUGAUUCUGAAAUAGCUAAAGAAAAUGUUAAAAAUGCAGUGGGUGAAGAUGUGCCCACAUUAACCUCUUUUCUAAAACAACAGUUGACAAUUGUGCUACAUGUCCUUAAGCAAAUCUUUUAGCCUGCCUGUUCCUUAGUUUCCUCAUCUGUGACAUGAGGGGAAUGUAUGAAAAAUAUCUCUGGAGAUUCCUUCCAGUCUAACAUUCUGUGGUUUGAUGAUUGAUACUAUGCUCACAUUCUUAAUACUCAGGCUGUGUCUACACAGUGCCAAGACAACUAGCUAAUUCAGUGAGUAUGGACAAAAUGUUCUUCCAAUCAAUUCUUUGGCACGCUGUAGACAAAUUGGCACUUCUUUUCAUUUUACAACUGGUUGCUCCGGCUUCUUCUUGACCAGUGCUUCUUCAAUGGUGGUAUCCUGACAUGCUGUAUGCCUGGAGCACUUAGGAGGUGUGUCCUAGGCAGUUGGCUAUGGAUAAUGAACUGUUGAGGUUCUCAAAUCGUUGAUGACUUUUUUUUAAUCAAUUAGAACAGAUUCAAUAUGGUCCUAUAGUAAUGCCCCUGCUGCUUAGUUGCAAUCCGAUAUGCCUCCCUGAAAGGAAGAAGUGGUGGAAUUACAGCUGCCGGACAGAGACUGCCUGUAGCCCUGACCCUGUUGGAUGCCCAUGGGAGGGUGUCAUGUGUUGUGCAUGUGAAUGUCAUUUAUCAUCUGCAACACAGCACUUGAGAAUGACUGAUGGAAACCCCUGAGACAUGGUCGGACAUCAAGGCACUGGAGACUCAGGCCCUGGAGAAAUCUGAGCCAGCAUCCUAUGACGCAGGGCCCAAAGCAGGAUGGAGAUAAAGAUGCCCAGAAGAAACCAAAGCCUUCUUGGGGGAAACUGUAAGAAGUCAGGAGGGAAUUCUUUAUUAGAAAUUGAAGAUCCCGCUGGGCGUGGUGGCUCAUGCCUGUAAUCCCAGCACUUUGGGAGGCCGAGGUGGACAGAUCACCUGAGGUAGAAGUUCGAGACCAGCCUGGCCAACAUAGCAAAACCCCAUCUCUACUAAAAAUACAAAAAUUAGCCGGGCGUGAUGGCACGCACCUGUAAUCCCAGCUACUCAGGAAGCUAAGGCAGGAGAAUCACUUGAACUUGGGAGGUGGAGGUUGUAGUGAGCCAAGAUGGCGCCAUUGCACUCCAGCCUAGGCAACAAGAGCGAGACUCCAUCUCAAAAAAAAAAAAGAAAAAGAAAAGAAAAGAAAAAAAAAGAAAGAAAGAAGUUGAAGAUCAAAGCUGGAGACCAGGACUCUUGACAAAUCUGACCAGAUUUGAAACACACCUAAGAAAUGUAAGACUCAAUUAAUUCUACAUGAGCCUAAGAAUUAAACCAAAUAAAGAAUGACAACACAAGUAAUGAGGAUACUGGCUUAUGCCUAGGUGUUUGUAUUUCUUUAGGUCUAACUCCAACUGUAUAUCCUAUUUUAAAUUAAUAUUUGUUAUUCUUUGUUUUUUGUUAUUUUAAUAAAAAGCUCUAUUUAAAUGUAUUUAAAUAACAUUAGCCAGAUGUGGUGGCUCAUGCCUGUAAUCCCAGCACUUUGGGAGGCUGAGGCAGGUGGAUUGCUUGAGCUCAGGAGUUUGAGGACAGCCUGGCCAACAUGAUGGAACCACGUCUCUACAAAAAUACAAAAAUUAGCCAGGCAUGG
Molecule: long non-coding RNA, 12852 nt
Filed under: Homo sapiens (human)
Lineage: Eukaryota; Metazoa; Chordata; Mammalia; Primates; Hominidae
Description: non-protein coding lnc-LEP-2:1
Rfam family: mir-129 microRNA precursor family (bases 1624-1698)
Source: RNAcentral